This 419-nucleotide ribosomal RNA is filed under the name uncultured eukaryote. Its description in RNAcentral is "SSU rRNA". It matches the Rfam family "Eukaryotic small subunit ribosomal RNA", at positions 567 to 990 of the family's 1831-position model. The record is from RNAcentral.
CCAGCAGCUGCGGUAAUUCCAGCUCCAAUAGCGUAUAUUAAAGUUGUUGCGGUUAAAAAGCUCGUAGUUGGAUUUCUGCCAAGGACGACCGGUCCGCCCACUGGGUGUGCAUCUGGCUCGGCCUGGGCAUCUUCUUGGAGAACGUAUCUGCACUUCACUGUGUGGUGCGGUAUCCAGGACUUUUACUUUGAGGAAAUUAGAGUGUUUCAAGCAGGCACACGCCUUGAAUACGUUAGCAUGGAAUAAUAAGAUAGGACCUUGGUUCUAUUUUGUUGGUUUCUAGAACUGAGGUAAUGAUUAAUAGGGAUAGUUGGGGGCAUUCGUAUUUAACUGUCAGAGGUGAACUUCUUGGAUUUGUUAAAGACGGACUACUGCGAAAGCAUUUGCCAAGGAUGUUUUCAUUGAUCAAGAACGAAAGU